RNAcentral lists this long non-coding RNA (283 nucleotides) under Nicotiana benthamiana. RNAcentral describes it as "long non-coding RNA (NBEN_LNC032452)". The record is from RNAcentral. Lineage: Eukaryota; Viridiplantae; Streptophyta; Magnoliopsida; Solanales; Solanaceae.
CUGCUCAAUCCAGGAAUUACAGAACCAUGUCCAUCUACAUGUUGGACAGAUGAAUAACCCUCAAUAUGAUUUCCAGAAGCAGGAGAAUUAUGUCCAUCAAAAGAAGAGAAGGAGGUAAAAUCAAUACCAGUGGUGACAUGGGCAGCAGUAGGUCUCAUCCCUUUGUUAAACAUGAUGCUUUGAGGAAAUCCAUGAAGUUUGUAACACUGAUCAAUUAAAGACCCAGAGUUCUUGCAAUAUAUACAGAAGAGAGGUUCUCUGGACUGAUCAAAAGUAACUCUCU